This 73-nucleotide transfer RNA is filed under the name Camelus bactrianus (Bactrian camel). It matches the Rfam family "tRNA". From Rfam's summary of the family: Transfer RNA (tRNA) molecules are approximately 80 nucleotides in length. Their secondary structure includes four short double-helical elements and three loops (D, anti-codon, and T loops). Further hydrogen bonds mediate the characteristic L-shaped molecular structure. tRNAs have two regions of fundamental functional importance: the anti-codon, which is responsible for specific mRNA codon recognition, and the 3' end, to which the tRNAs corresponding amino acid is attached (by aminoacyl-tRNA synthetases). tRNAs cope with the degeneracy of the genetic code in two manners: having more than one tRNA (with a specific anti-codon) for a particular amino acid; and 'wobble' base-pairing, i.e. permitting non-standard base-pairing at the 3rd anti-codon position. Lineage: Eukaryota; Metazoa; Chordata; Mammalia; Artiodactyla; Camelidae. The record is from Rfam by way of RNAcentral. RNAcentral also lists the same sequence under 2 other names.
GAGGCUAUAGCUCAGUGGUAAAAGCGCGUGCUUAGCAUGCACGAGGUCCUGGGUUCAAUCUCCAGUACUUCCA